GAUGGCCUAGGAGGAAAAGUGACUUGCCCAAGGCUACAGGCAAACAAAGAAGCUGGCAGCAUUGGUUCCAUUGUAAACCCAAAGGCGACAAGAAAGAUCAUUUCAUGGGAAACUUGCUCAUCUCAUCUUGUAGUAUUUAUUAUGAGCAUAAGCAAAUAGACCACCAUGAAGAUAAUUAUAGUUUAUGUGCCAACCAACAUCUGUUGCAGAGAAGAAGAGGUAGAGAAAUCCUAUAAUGAUCUUAAAAAGAUUAUCCAGAACAAGUCUACAUAUACUUUGAUACUUGGUGAUUGUAAUGCAGAAGUGGGUAAAAGUAAGAAGAGAUGAAAGAUAUCGGUUCAAAGAAACCUGGGAAGAUUUGUAUGAACUGUUGCAGAGUGAAGUGAUCCAAACCAGGAGAACAAUAAAAAUAACGUUGCAAAGACAAACAACUUUGAAAGACUUAGGAACUCUGAUCAAUGACCAACAAUCAUGCAAUCAUGCAAAGGACUAAUGAUGAUCUAUAUGAUUGAGAGGUGAGAGAUUCAAGAUGCAGGAUGCGACAUAUAUUUUUGGAUGUGGACAAUGUGGGGAUUUGCUUUGCUUGACUAUGCAUGUUUGUUACAAGGGUUUUGUUUUUCUUUUUCUUUUCCAUUGGUGGGGGAGGGGAAGAAUGGGAAGGAAAGAAAAUAAAUUCCCGUCUUUAAAUCUAUAAACUUAUGAGCCAUUGAUGCUGAAAAUGGGAAGUGAACAAAGAUAAAAAUAUUGACUUUGAUUAACUAAUAUAAAGCAGUCACCACAAUGAAAACGCCAAAAGAGUCUAGAAUGUUUCUUAAACUGCAAACUCUUGAUAUACUUGCCAGACACUUGGCAGCCAAGAGCAAUUUAGUUUACAAACUUAUUUGUAAAACACUACAUAGGAAGGUGGUGAAAGAUUAUGAUCAAUAUUGUUUCAUAAAACAGUAAAAUGCAAUAAAAAUAAAAACAUGUCUACAGAA
This is a long non-coding RNA of Vombatus ursinus (common wombat), 977 nucleotides long. RefSeq lists it as uncharacterized. The transcript has 2 exons. NCBI's taxonomy places the organism in Eukaryota, Metazoa, Chordata, Mammalia, Diprotodontia, Vombatidae. The record is from RefSeq and is a predicted model, not a curated record.